This 497-nucleotide ribosomal RNA is filed under the name uncultured bacterium. RNAcentral's name for it is "partial 16S ribosomal RNA". It matches the Rfam family "Bacterial small subunit ribosomal RNA", at positions 28 to 507 of the family's 1533-position model. The record is from RNAcentral.
GAUGAACGCUGGCGGCGUGCUUAAUACAUGCAAGUCGAGCGGAAGGACGAGAAGCUUGCUUCUCUGAUGUAAGCGGCGGGCGAGAGAGUAACACGUGGAUCCCCUCCUUGUAAGACUGGGAUAACUUCGGGAAACAGGCGCUAAUCCCGGAUAAUAUUUUGAGCCGCAUGGUUCAAAAGUGAAAGACGGUCUUGGUGUCACUUAUAGAUGGAUCCGCGCUGCAUUAGCUAGUUGGUAAGGUAACGGCUUACCAAGGCAACGAUGCAUAGCCGACCUCAGAGGGGGGUCGGCCGCCCGGGAGCUGGAACACGGACCAGGCUCCUGCGGGAGGCAGCAGUAGCGAAUCUGCCGCAGCAGGCGGGAGCAUUGCGCAGCGGCGCGGAGUGAGAGAUGAAGGUCUCGCGUUCGUAAAACUGGGUUAUUAGGUAUAAACAUAUGUGUAAGUAACUGUGCACAUCGUGACGGUACCUAAUCAGAAAGCCACGGCUAACUACGUG